Patella vulgata (common limpet) is the source of this 589-nucleotide long non-coding RNA. RefSeq lists it as uncharacterized. The transcript is spliced from 3 exons. NCBI's taxonomy places the organism in Eukaryota, Metazoa, Mollusca, Gastropoda, Patellidae. The record is from RefSeq and is a predicted model, not a curated record.
CACAGAAUGAUGAGUAAACAGACAACGUCAAUGUCUAUAACAAUUUAGAAAUAUUCUUAAAUGCCAUUAUAACAGUGUUAAAUAAAGCCAAUUGACAGAAAGCCAAGUGAUUAGAUGACAUUGCUAUCAACUGUUUGAAUCGGCCCCGAAGAACUCUUAUUACAUCUGCUAUACUUGGUAGAAAUCAAUGAAGUCAUACCAUCUAAAACUAUAGCCAUUCACGUUUGUGUAAUCUUCAGAGUGAAAACUGACCAGUUUUAUAGGUUUUCAACUUGAGCUGAAGAACUUAAGAUGAAAUGAAAUGAAAUGAAAUGGGUCUUAACAUCCUACUUUUCUACACCAACUGGGCUAAUAAAGGCAGAAAAAGGACUUAGGAGUUUUCUACAAAAUUACAACUGAAUGCAAAUUGGAAUCAGACUUUUAUUUUACUUCAACCACGUAAUGGGAGCUUACAUAAACAAAACAUGCAAAGGUAAUCAGAUGAUAACUUUCGCUGUUUGGGUUAUCAGAAAUGUGCUGUCCGUGCGGAACAGUAGGGCGCUAAACCCCAUUAUGAGCAAUUGGAGAAUUCCACUGAAAGCAAGUAUCA